CCUGGCCCCAAUCUCCGAGACUCUCUUCUAAAUCGCCCUCAAAUUGAGUCUUUACCCUCGCCGCCGCCACCAAAUGCGAUGUGCCCUAGCCGCCACCCCCAAGCACCGCCCCUGGCCGCCGCCCCCAACCACCGCCCCUGGCCGCCGCCCCGCAACCACCGCCGACUACCCUCCACUCCGACCACUUCUGCCGUCGCCCCCAGCACCCCACCUAGCUCCGCUGAGAACCAACUGACAGGGAUCUAAGCCGACGCCGGCCGACCCCGUCGCCGAGCCACUCCACCGCCGACCACCAUCCUUCGCCGAACAAUCCAGCGCCACCACCCUACUUUGCGAGCUUCCUUGCCGGAGCAGCAAUUGUCACCGGAGCAUCGAGCGGGGCCACCUCCUCUACGUGACUAUGUCCUCUCCCCCAAGAAGCGGACCGUCUGUCCCCUCCUGCGAGCAACUCUACCUCCUCAACAUCCUCUCCCUUGGUACAACUAGCUCCUCUACUUCCUUGCCUUAACCGAGAGCAUUUGAUAGGCUGGAUUUCUUUGCUAAUUUUGUUCAUAUUCAGUGUCUAGCAAUUUUAGUCAUGAGAUGCAGUGUAUGACCUAAAGCUUUGAUUGGCCGAAAGCAUGUGCAAUGUAAUAUUUGACUUCAAUUAAUCUAUCUGCCUUAGUAACAAUUUGCUCUUGUUUACAUAAUACCAGUACUUAUUAGAGUGGUUGUAUCUACUACUGUAUUCCAACUUCUAUUUAAUUAGGUGACUCUAGCUUAGAUCUUAUUAAUUUCACAAGGUGGUAUUUAGUAAUUUCUCUGGGUUCAGUGUCACCUAUUGUAGGGCUCCUUAAUUAAAUCCUCUCCCUAGGCAGCGCCGGCUCUUGUACUUCCUUGCCCCAACUGAGCAUUUGUCAGGUGAGAUGCUUUUGCAAACUUCUAUCCCUUUUUCUUCUAGGCAGUAACUAGAAUGAGUUCAACAAGUUUUGAGUUUAUGGCACCACAGUUGUGAAGAUAACGACUAAGUAUCAAACAUAUUCCCUAAAAUGUACUGCUAGUAUUUUGAUAUCAUAUAGCCGAAGUUUAUUUAUGCUGAAGUGAUCUUCCAUGGCAGCAAAAUGGAUGCUACAGUUACAAACUAAAUUAGUGAAGCCUUGUAGAGGUACUACAUUCAAUCUUUGCUAAAAAUGGUUUUUGUUCUGUGUCGCUUAUCUCCAUUAUCGAUCGAUGGUAGAAAAGUAGCUACAUAGCGAACCUCUUUUUGUCUCUUUUCUGUUCGCUUAUCACCAUUGUUUUGUGUAAUUUGUUGUCUGAAUUUGAUAUGUACAUAUGUAGACAUGGUUCAGCGGUAUUUAUAUCAUUAAGUUCUCGUGCUCUACUCAUAUGGUGUUGAAAUAUUGUGGUUAGUCUCAGUUCUACAUAUCUAUGAUAUAAUGUUGAAAUGUGUGUGAUCAUUCUCAGCUAGUUAAUAGAACUCUACUUCCUUUCAUUACUUUGGCAGUUUUAGCGAAACUAGUCAAGAAUGGACAAGAGAUGGACAGAUAAAGGUAGACACACACAAACAUAUAUUGAUGGGGUAAAGGAAUUAAUAAAGUUUGCUUUUACCCAUUCAGCAAAAAUGCGACCUCAAGCAAGCUGAUGAGGUAAUGUAAAUGUUUCUCUUGGUUAUUGCUAUGUUAUACUCUCUCUGUUCAUAGAUAUAAGAUGUUCUGGGUAUUUCAAUAUGGACCACGUACGGGCUAAAAUGAGUGAACAAACACACUAAAGUGUGUCUAUAUAUACCUGAUUCGCAAAAAAAAGUUAAAACAUCUUAUAUUUGUGAAUGGAGGGAGUACUGUUUAUAUGUUGUUUGGCAUUUAAUCAUUAUCCAGAGAACUUCAGAAGGAACUGAAAGCCUCCUAAUCGAUAUCCUGAUAAUUUUUCUUUGCAUUUUCACUUUCACCCGUAAUUUAAUCACACUGGUACUGUAUAUGUGCUAAACUUUAAAAUUGUCAGUUUUUAGUCGUAAAUAGAGGUGAUAUAGUUACUUUCACUUUUCUCAGUUACUUUAAUGUAUGCCUUUGUAGUACUAAUUGAUCCAUUUCUUUCCAGAACUAUAUCAUGUACAAUAUAGCUAGUCCUUGUUGUAAUUUCACGUAUAUUAACUUGCACCUUGUUGUACAAUUUUUUUUGCUAUACAAUUCUGUGGUUUCUUCAAUUCCGUUAUGUGCAUUUUUUCUUCUAUUCGUGGUUGACUCUUUCAUGUCAGAUCCAAAACUUCACUGAUAAAAUUAGUGGAAUCUGUUAUAUUGGGCUACAAAGCAUGGACAGGGCAGUAAUUUCCGAUCUGUUGUCCGGAUAUGGCGGGAUACGUGUGUCCCCCAGUAUCCCCAGAUUUUUGAUUAAAAAGAAAGAAAAGAAUGCGGGGAUAUGGCGGGUAUGUGACACGGUUGGGAUACGGCCUGGCCCAAAAAAUAGCCUUGGCCCAAAACGGAACUCUAUAUUUUGCAUGAGUGGCACACCUCUCGACACAAAAACAAGGUGCUCCCGGGUCGCAUCCUCUCCUCGAUCGAAGCUGCCACCUCCUGGAUCGAAGCCACCACCGCCGGCGACCGCUACCUCAGCACCAACAGGCAGCAGCCUCUCCUCCCGAUGGUAGCAUGUCAUGGGGGACGAGGACUAAUCAAACUUGAUAAAAGAGACACCAAAUGGGCCAGUAUUCUCUAUUCUAAUAUCUUUCUCAUUAAUUUUCUGUCUUAACUAUGUAUUACAUGGCUUUUUAGCUUUUGGGUGCACUCGAGCGUACGGUUUUGUGAAGCAAGUAACAAUGGUACAGAUUCUUGUUUUGCCAUAUUUGCCCAUGGAAUAUUUUUGUAUGUAAGCGCAAAUAAUUUCUGCUUGAUCUAAUUAUGUCUGUAAUAAUCAUUGCUUAUUCUGAUGAUUAAGUGUUGCAUAUUUAGAAGAGUUUUAUGCUAACGAGUUAAACUGCAGCACGACAACAUCUAUAUUAUGUUGAUUUAAAAUAUGAAAUGGUAGCACCAUUUUUGAGUUUCUAAUUUGUUGCAGGUUUCUCAAAGAUACACAAAUUGAUGGAGGUUUGGAGGAUCUACAAGUUGCUGGAGUGAUAAUAUAUUAUGUAAUAUGCCUUUUUUCUUGAACCUUGAGACAUUGAGUUUUAAGUUGCAUUUUGGUGGUUGUUUCAGCACACAAGCCAUUUUAUGCUCAUCUUGGUUGUGUGGCAUGAUUUCUUUACCUUGAACAUAUGUACUUUUCUUCGAAGCACAAUGUCCUCGUAUAUGGUUCGGUCAUGCAUGUGUAAGAAACGUAUAUUUUUGGUAUAUUUAUGUUGUUGAAUGAGGCCUUGUGAAAUU
Molecule: long non-coding RNA, 3332 nt
Organism: Triticum aestivum (bread wheat)
Lineage: Eukaryota; Viridiplantae; Streptophyta; Magnoliopsida; Poales; Poaceae
Exons: 2
Source: RefSeq, a predicted model, not a curated record